AGUCCAUAGUAUGGGCAGUAUCGCAAUAGGUCCUUGUAUCUCUCCCAAGUGUCAUACAUCAACUCAUCAUCAAACUGCACAAAAAAAGAUAAAUCAUUUCUAAGUUU
Molecule: small nucleolar RNA, 107 nt
Filed under: Ricinus communis (castor bean)
Lineage: Eukaryota; Viridiplantae; Streptophyta; Magnoliopsida; Malpighiales; Euphorbiaceae
Description: Plant small nucleolar RNA R71
Rfam family: Plant small nucleolar RNA R71
About the family: R71 is a member of the C/D box family of snoRNAs containing the C (UGAUGA) and D (CUGA) box motifs. Multiple nearly identical copies of this snoRNA have been identified in Arabidopsis, and it is thought to function as a 2'-O-ribose methylation guide for 18S ribosomal RNA.
Source: Rfam by way of RNAcentral